GAACCGACCUGGCUCACACCGGUUUAAACUCAGAUCAUGUAAAAUUCUAAAGGUCGAACAGACCUAAUCUAUUAGCUUCUACACCAACAAUUAAUUUUAAUCCAACAUCGAGGUCGCAAUCUAUUUUUUCGAUAAGAACUCUAAAAAAAAUUACGCUGUUAUCCCUAAGGUAAUUUAAUCUUGUAAUCUACAUACUAGGAUCAUAAAUAUACAAAUAAAUAUUACUUAAUAAAGAAAAGUUAAAUUAAUUUUCCUAUCACCCCAACAAAAUAAAUAAUAAUAAAAUUUAAACAAAUAAAACCUCAUACCUAAAUAUCACACAAUUUAUAAAACUCUAUAGGGUCUUCUCGUCUUCUAUACAUAUUUAAGCUUUUUUACUUAAAAAUAAAAUUUUAAUAAAAUUCAAUUGAGACAGUCACUCCCUCAUCAAACCCUUCAUACAAGCUUUUAAUUAAAAAACUAAUGAUUAUGCUACCUUUGCACGGUCAAUAUACCGCGGCCAUUUAACUAAUCAGUGGGCAGGUCCGACUUGAAAUUAUCAUCAACAAGACAUGUUUUUAAUA
This 563-nucleotide ribosomal RNA is filed under the name Trigonopterus suturalis. Its description in RNAcentral is "partial 16S ribosomal RNA". The record is from RNAcentral. Lineage: Eukaryota; Metazoa; Arthropoda; Insecta; Coleoptera; Curculionidae.